This 411-nucleotide ribosomal RNA is filed under the name Membracioides sp. UCR ENT 00096868. RNAcentral's name for it is "partial large subunit ribosomal RNA". The stretch from base 73 to 356 matches the Rfam family "Bacterial large subunit ribosomal RNA", at positions 2077 to 2643 of the family's 2925-position model. The record is from RNAcentral. Lineage: Eukaryota; Metazoa; Arthropoda; Insecta; Hemiptera; Schizopteridae.
AAGAAAGUUUAAUUUUCUUAUUUGCAUAAAUAAGAAUUUAUUUUUUUAGUGAAAAAACUGAAAUUUUUUUAUAGGACGAGAAGACCCUGUAGAACUUCAAUAUAUAUAUACUUAAUUUUWWWUUAWCAAUAAUUUUUGAUUUUUAUGAUCCAAUAUUUUUGAUUAUAAGAUUAAGUUACCUUAGGGAUAACAGCGUAAUUUAAUUGGAGAGUUCUUAUCGAUAAUUUAAGUUUGCGACCUCGAUGUUGAAUUAAGAUUAAGUUUAGGGGUAGAUUUUUAUAUUUUUGGUCUGUUCGACCAUUUAUUUCUUACAUGAUUUGAGUUUAGACCGGUGUGAGCCAGGUUGGUUUCUAUCCUUAAUAUCAAUUAUUAUUUUUUAGUACGAGAGGACCAAAAAUUUAAUUAAUAUUU